CAUGGCGGGUGGGUGAAAGACCCGAGCUAACAUGGGGUUAGCUCGUAAAACUACAAUAAAGCCUCAUGCAGUUUGCAUCAAGCUUUCGCCUCCAUUCUGUGUUUGGGGUGGCCGCCGUCCUGGGCUAAGAUUCUGGAAGCCUCAGCUUUCUGAGGGUCUAACAACAGGGCCCAUGUGGAGGCUGAAUGUGACUGCAGGCUGAUGUAACAACUUGCCUGAGAAGUGAUCAGAUUUGGAACUGAAUUGUGGCCAAGAGGGUCCCUCUUCCGAGAUGAUCUUAGCUUGUGUGCAGUUGACAAGAAAAACAAAAACUAACAAGCACAAUUUGCAUGGCUAUGUAUGUAUGGAAGAGGAAAAGAGCAAAAGCUGGCUAGCCUGUCCUACAGAGAGAGUUCCAGGACAGGGUCCAAAGCUACGCAGAGAAACCUUGUCUCGAAAAACCAAAAAACCAAACAAACACAUAUCUAGGUUUCUGCCCAAAGAAAUGAAAGAAAAUCAAAGUUAAUAGAAAGAAAUAGAAUCAGAAUGCAAAUCAAUAAGAUAGAAAACAAAAACACAAAGAGAAAAUCAACAUAAUCAAAGUUGAUUUUUGGAACGAAGCAACUAGAGAAGCCUCUGCUACACUGAUGGAGAUGAGAGAAGACGGAAGUUACGUAGUGAAUGAAAGAGGAAGCUGGAUGUCCCAAGUCAACCUAAGGGUUUCCCAAAGCACAGAUAGAUACACUGGAUGUACACAUGGUGGAAUGCAUUCAGCCCUAGACAAAAGGGAAAUCCUGUCACUUUUGACAACAGAGAUAAAUGUGA
Molecule: long non-coding RNA, 804 nt
Filed under: Cricetulus griseus (Chinese hamster)
Lineage: Eukaryota; Metazoa; Chordata; Mammalia; Rodentia; Cricetidae
Description: lncRNA (ENSCGRG00015038486.1)
Source: RNAcentral